Molecule: ribosomal RNA, 459 nt
Filed under: uncultured bacterium
Lineage: Bacteria
Description: bacterial SSU rRNA
Rfam family: Bacterial small subunit ribosomal RNA
Source: RNAcentral
GGCGGCGCGUCUUAAACAUGCAAGUCGAACGAUCUGUAGCAAUACAGGGAGUGGCGGACGGGUGAGGAACACGUAGGAAUCUACCUUGAAGAGCGGGACAACUUUGGGAAACCGGGGCUAAUACCGCAUAGUACAGAGAUGUUAAAGGGCUAGCAAUAGUCGCUUCGAGAUGAGCCUGCGGUCUAUCAGCUUGUUGGUGAGGUAAUGGGCUCACCCAAGGCUACGACGGAUAGCCGGUCUGAGAGGAUGAUCGGCCACACUGGCACUGAGACACGGGGCCAGACUCCUACGGGAGGCAGCAGUUAAGAAUCUUGCGCAAUGGGGGAAACCCUGACGCAGCGACGCCGCGUGAAGGAUGAAGGCUUUCGGGUUGUAAACUUCGGUAGACUGGGAAGAAGAAAUACGUUCGUUGAGGGCGUAUAGUGACGGUACCAGUCUGAAGCCCCGGCUAAUUACGUG